Molecule: ribosomal RNA, 380 nt
Filed under: uncultured eukaryote
Lineage: Eukaryota
Description: SSU rRNA
Rfam family: Eukaryotic small subunit ribosomal RNA
Source: RNAcentral
AGCUCCAGAAGCGUAUAUUAAAGUUGUUGCGGUUAAAACGCUCGUAGUUGAAUAUAUGCCAAGUGCGACUGGUCUUCCCUUGUCUGGUAGCACACGGUCCGCACCUGGCUCACUUCUGAGUUUCUUUGCACACUUCAUUGUGUGGAAUUGCAUUCAGAUAUAUUACUUUGAGAAAAUGAGGGUGCUCUAUGCAGAUGUACGUCAUGGAUAUAUUAGCAUGGAAUAGCAUUAUAGAAUAUUAUUUUGAAGGUGCUGGUUUUUUGGAAUAGUAUAAUGGCAAGGGGAACAGUUGGGGGCAUUUAUAUUUAACUGUUAGAGGUGAAAUUCUUGAAUCUUUUAAAGAUAAACAACUGCGAAAGCAUCUGUCCAGGAUGUUUCUA